UACGGAGGGUGCGAGCGUUGUCCGGAAUCAUUGGGCGUAAAGGGCGCGUAGGUGGCCUGCUAAGCGUGCGGUGAAAGCUCGGGGCUCAACCCCGAGUCGGCCGUGCGAACUGGUGGGCUUGAGCACUGUAGAGGCAGGCGGAAUUCCGGGUGUAGCGGUGGAAUGCGUAGAGAUCCGGAAGAACACCGGUGGCGAAGGCGGCCUGCUGGGCAGUAGCUGACACUGAGGCGCGAAAGCGUGGGGAGCAAACAGG
This 253-nucleotide ribosomal RNA is filed under the name uncultured bacterium. RNAcentral's name for it is "partial 16S ribosomal RNA". It matches the Rfam family "Bacterial small subunit ribosomal RNA", at positions 524 to 776 of the family's 1533-position model. The record is from RNAcentral.